This 274-nucleotide ribosomal RNA is filed under the name uncultured bacterium. RNAcentral describes it as "partial 16S ribosomal RNA". It matches the Rfam family "Bacterial small subunit ribosomal RNA", at positions 523 to 796 of the family's 1533-position model. The record is from RNAcentral.
AUACGGAGGGGGCUAGCGUUGUUCGGAAUUACUGGGCGUAAAGCGUACGUAGGCGGAUUGUUAAGUUAGAGGUGAAAUCCCGGGGCUCAACCCCGGAACUGCCUUUAAAACUGGCAAUCUAGAGUUAUGGAGAGGUAAGUGGAAUUCCUAGUGUAGAGGUGAAAUUCGUAGAUAUUAGGAGGAACACCAGAGGCGAAGGCGGCUUACUGGACAUAUACUGACGCUGAGGUACGAAAGUGUGGGGAGCGAACGGGAUUAGAAACCCUAGUAGUCC